GCCCGUCUAGCUCAGUGGUAGAGCGCCAGACUUUUAAUCUGGUGGUCGAGGGUUCGAUCCCCUCGGUGGGCG
Oxytricha trifallax is the source of this 72-nucleotide non-coding RNA. The record is from Rfam. Lineage: Eukaryota; Ciliophora; Spirotrichea; Sporadotrichida; Oxytrichidae.